ACGUAGGCAGCAAGCGUUGUUCGGAGUUACUGGGCGUAAAGGGUGUGUAGGCGGUUGGAUAAGUGUGGUGUGAAAUCUCCCGGCUCAACUGGGAGGGUGCGCUACAAACUGUCUGACUAGAGUGUGGGAUGGGUAAGUGGAAUUCCUGGGGUAGCGGUGAAAUGCGCAGAUAUCAGGAGGAACACCGGUGGCGAAGGCGGAUCUCUGGACCGUAACUGACGCUGAGGAGCGAAAGCAUGGGGAGCGAACAGGA
This 253-nucleotide ribosomal RNA is filed under the name uncultured prokaryote. Its description in RNAcentral is "partial 16S ribosomal RNA". It matches the Rfam family "Bacterial small subunit ribosomal RNA", at positions 525 to 777 of the family's 1533-position model. The record is from RNAcentral.